GACGAACGCUGGCGGCGUGCUUAACACAUGCAAGUCGAGCGGUAAGGCCCUUUCGGGGGUACGACGAGCGGCGAACGGGUGAGUAACACGUGGGUGACCUGCCCUUAGCUCUGGGAUAAGCCUGGGAAACUGGGUCUAAUACCGGAUAUGACUCCAUGACGCAUGUUGUGGGGUGGGAAAGCCUUGUGCGGCUAGGGAUGGGCCCGCGGCCUAUCAGCUUGUUGGUGGGGUGAUGGCCUACCAAGGCGACGACGGGUAGCCGGCCUGAGAGGGCGACCGGCCACACUGGGACUGAGACACGGCCCAGACUCCUACGGGAGGCAGCAGUGGGGAAUCUUGCGCAAUGGGCGAAAGCCUGACGCAGCGACGCCGCGUGAGGGAUGACGGCC
This 389-nucleotide ribosomal RNA is filed under the name uncultured bacterium. Its description in RNAcentral is "bacterial SSU rRNA". It matches the Rfam family "Bacterial small subunit ribosomal RNA", at positions 28 to 416 of the family's 1533-position model. The record is from RNAcentral.